Non-coding RNA from Ceratobasidium sp. 423, 85 nucleotides. Lineage: Eukaryota; Fungi; Basidiomycota; Agaricomycetes; Cantharellales; Ceratobasidiaceae. The record is from the annotation of a GenBank genome assembly.
GGCCAUAUAGUGUAGUGGUUUAGCACACGGGAUUUUGAUUAGCCUUUGACUUCCCGUAACCCAAGUUCGACUCUUGGUAUGGCCC